UGGCGCGGCGGCCGCGGUGGUGGGUUUCAACUGCCACGUUCGGUUCGAUGUCUCCACCGCAGCGACCAGAGUGAUGACCCCAGCGACCACAGCGGCCUUCUCCGUGUAGGCCUUCUAGCUUUGAUCAUAGCCAACUUCAUUCUGAUAGUAGCCAACUACUGCACUCCUUCUCGCCGUUGCCGGUGAAGAGAACACAACACCGGCAGGUACUCUUUUUCUUUUUUUCUUUUUUUCGUUUUUGCUUUUGCUAUAUUUCUUUACUCAUGCACAAGGGGGAAAAUG
Long non-coding RNA from Triticum dicoccoides, 282 nucleotides. RefSeq lists it as uncharacterized. The transcript has 2 exons. The record is from RefSeq and is a predicted model, not a curated record. NCBI's taxonomy places the organism in Eukaryota, Viridiplantae, Streptophyta, Magnoliopsida, Poales, Poaceae.